CCUACGGGUGGCAGCAGUGAGGAAUAUUGGUCAAUGGGCGUAAGCCUGAACCAGCCAAGUCGCGUGAGGGAUGAAGGUUCUAGGGAUCGUAAACCUCUUUUAUAAGGGAAUAAGGUGAGGGACGUAACCAGUUGUGUAUGUACCUUAUGAGUAAGGAUCGGCUAACUCCGUGCCAGCAGCCGCGGUAAUACGGAGGAUCCGAGCGUUAUCCGGAUUUAUUGGGUUUAAAGGGUGCGUAGGCGGCCUGUUAAGUCAGGGGUGAAAGUCUGUGGCUCAACCAUAGAAUUGCCGUUGAAACUGGGAGGCUUGAGUAUGUGUGAGGCAGGCGGAAUGCGUGGUGUAGCGGUGAAAUGCUUAGAUAUCACGCAGAACCCCGAUUGCGAAGGCAGCCUGUUAAGACAUGACUGACGCUGAUGCACGAAAGCGUGGGGAUCAAACAGGAUUAGAUACCCGUGUAGUC
Molecule: ribosomal RNA, 460 nt
Filed under: uncultured bacterium
Lineage: Bacteria
Description: partial 16S ribosomal RNA
Rfam family: Bacterial small subunit ribosomal RNA
Source: RNAcentral